AGAGUUUGAUUAUGGCUCAGGAUGAACGCUAGCGGCAGGCUUAAUACAUGCAAGUCGAACGGGAUUCAGGUAGCAAUACUUGAUGAGAGUGGCGCACGGGUGCGUAACACGUAUGCAACCUACCUUUAACUGGUGAAUAGCCCCGGGAAAUCGGGAUUAAUACACCAUAACAUUACAAGAGGGCAUCCUCUAAUAAUUAAAGAACUUCGGUUAAAGAUGGGCAUGCGGGACAUUAGCUAGUUGGUGAGGUAACGGCUCACCAAGGCAACGAUGUCUAGGGGUCCUGAGAGGGUUAUCCCCCACACUGGUACUGAGACACGGACCAGACUCCUACGGGAGGCAGCAGUAAGGAAUAUUGGUCAAUGGGCGCAAGCCUGAACCAGCCAUGCCGCGUGAAAGGAAGACGGCGCUAUGCGUUGUAAACUUCUUUUGUCAGGGAAUAAAUGUAGGUACGUGUACUUACUUGAAGGUACCUGAAGAAUAAGCAUCGGCUAACUCCGUGCCAGCAGCCGC
Molecule: ribosomal RNA, 513 nt
Filed under: uncultured bacterium
Lineage: Bacteria
Description: bacterial SSU rRNA
Rfam family: Bacterial small subunit ribosomal RNA
Source: RNAcentral